AUACGGAGGGUGCAAGCGUUAUCCGGAAUCAUUGGGUUUAAAGGGUUCGUAGGCGGGUCAAUAAGUCAGAGGUGAAAUCUUGCAGCUUAACUGUAAAAUUGCCUUUGAAACUGUUGACCUUGAAUUACUGUGAAGUGGUUAGAAUAUGUAGUGUAGCGGUGAAAUGCUUAGAGAUUACAUAGAAUACCGAUUGCGAAGGCAGAUCACUAACAGUAUAUUGACGCUGAUGAACGAAAGCGUGGGUAGCGAACGGGAUUAGAAACCCCGGUAGUCC
RNAcentral lists this ribosomal RNA (274 nucleotides) under uncultured bacterium. RNAcentral's name for it is "partial 16S ribosomal RNA". It matches the Rfam family "Bacterial small subunit ribosomal RNA", at positions 523 to 796 of the family's 1533-position model. The record is from RNAcentral.